UUUUUUUUUUUUUUUUUGAUUAAGUGGCUUCCGGAAGCGGGCCAGACCCGUGAUAAGGUUUGUUUCUUCAACGCUACGUGCCCGGGGAGAGGAGAGGAGGAAGGCUGGGAGGGGGCACAGAAAGAAAGCGGGAAUAAGAGAGAGGAGAGGAGAGAAGAGAAGAGAAGAGAAGAGAGAGAUCCUUUCUCAAAAUGGACAUCAACAGCUCUGCCAGCGCAAAAAACACUCGCAGUGACCUGGGAACCCGAACUAAACAAAGGAUUCCUGGGAGCUCCAUGGAAUUCUACUUCUCAGAAUGCUGUGACCGGAAUGCCGCCACGGAAUCAGACUUCAGCGAGUUCAGCAAUCCCGACAGUCAGCCCAUCGACCUUUCCACGAAGAAAAGGAGCCCAAAACUGGGGAGGCCCCGCUCCCCUCUGUGCAGCACUGCACACCCCUCUGCACCCCAGGCAGCCCCAACAAGGGGCCCCCUGUGCCUCAGACUGACUCUGGAAAAGCGUGAAGGCAUCAGCACGGCGCCUCCUGCUGUGCAGGAGGAGGUACUGCAGGCUCGGAGCAAGAGAAUCGACUCCCUGAUUUUAAACAACUCAUCUGUUAGCUGCGCAAAUAGCAGCAACGGCUUAAGAAUCGUGAAACUUUACAAAGCUGAGAGGAAAGAUGUAGGAGUGGAAAGGGAUAACCAGAGCCUGUGUAUUGCACGCUGGCUCAAAACUGAAGACCAGGAGGUUGAAAUCUCGGAGGGUCUGGGUGGUAAAGGUGGGGUGGCGGGUUGCAUUAAGAACGAGAGGGAGGAGGAGGGAGGAGGAGAGGGGCAGGCUGGGAGGAACCCCUCCUCUGACUCGGACGCUUCCUGUGAAUCAGGAGUGAGGGGUCCGGGAGGGGGCGGGGGUCUGCUCCUGAUUGAUGACAAAGGCAUCCCGUACACAGUCACGCUGGCGGGAGAGCGCGUCUCUGAUUCUGAAGUGCCAGACCACUCCUCGAAUUCCACGAAACUAACUAAGCACGCUGCCAGAACGCCGCUGAUCCGUGGGAAAUCCACCGUCAAGCGGGACGGCUCGGGAAUCCCAACGGACGGCGGCACCAGCAGAGCCCCCAAACUCCCCAAGACCCUGAUAACCGAACCUUCGACCCCACCGGUGAAACAGGAACCGGCUCCCAUCUCUCAGACAGCGACGGGCAGGACCCUGAGCCCAGAGCCUCAGAUCCCCCCCAGACGCGUGCUCUACUGCGAGGUCUGCUUCCGAGCCUUCUUCUAUCUGUCCGACCUGGAGCGGCACAGCAUCACACACUCGGAGAGCAAGCCCCACGCCUGCGCGCAGUGCGGGAAGCGCUUCAAACGGUCGAGCCACCUGGAGCGGCACAAACACAUCCACACGGGCCAGCGCAACUUCGCCUGCGCGCUCUGCGGGAAGCGGUUCCGCGAGGCGGGGGAGCUGCUGCGGCACCAGCGGGUCCACACCGGAGAGAAGCCGUACCAGUGCGAGGGCUGCAGGAUGAGAUUCGCAGAGCGCAACACACUGCGCAGGCACACCAAGCGCAAGCACGCCCGCGAGGGGCUGUACACGCAGGGGGCCGGGGCAGCGGACAAUAAGGACUGGUACUCCAGCUCUGGGCUGGGGGAGGAAGGGGGUGAAGAGGGGGAGAUGGGCUCUUGAGAGAGCAAGGAGUUGGCUUUUAAAGUUUUAAAAUGUUUCUCUCUGUUGAUUUGACGACAGCAUGCCCCCUUCGUUGAUGGAUUUGUAAUAAGUUGUAGCGCUGACCCUGUCUCUUAUAUCGAUUAAUAUGUCCAGUCGAUCGUGUGUCUUCUAUCAGUUAGUGUGUCCAGUUGACCCAAGCACACACCCUGGCCUGGCCUCUGUGUUAGGACCUGCCUGCCUGGCUCCCGGAUUGGGUUUGGAUGUUCUGGUUCUGCUGUACCCCGGCUCCCUCGAUUAUUCUGCUGGGCUGAACGAACACUAAGCAUCGCUGCAGACCCCCAACAACGCCGAACCCCAACUUUCAAGACGAUAACGCCCCUGUCCGCCGUGCCGGGAUUAACGGUUUGAGGAGCGUGACAGAGAGACUUCGGGUAUCUUCCACAGCCACCGCACUGAUCUGACCCGACCAUCUGAAGGACUCGUCAUCACGACCCCCUGCCUGCCUCUCUGCGCUCAGUAUUAAUGAGGGAGUGGAUCAACAGAGACCCCUUCCAACACCUUGUGGAGUCGAGGCCCCGUCCAGAUCAAACGGUGACCCGAUAGCAGGGAUGGGUCCUAACAAAGUGGCCAGGCUGUUUGUUAUACAAAUACGAAAGAGUGAAAGAACAAAAGACUCACUGGAGUGCUGAUACCAAACUCUAAAGAUGGACAAAUAUAGAAAAUUAAUAAAAUGGUGCCACUGUCAUGUUUUAAAAAUGAUAUCCUGUAACAAAUCAUGACUACAUUAAAACGAACUCGGAUGCAAUUGUACUUGAGUAGAUAUGAAUUUUAAAAGUGUGCUGUUCAGAAAAUCCAUCAUUUAAAACACUACACUGCUAACCAAGGUUUAUAAAUCCAUUCUCUCACCUCUUAUUAGCUUU
This is an RNA transcript of Polyodon spathula (Mississippi paddlefish), 2557 nucleotides long. It is a transcript of the gene named zinc finger and SCAN domain-containing protein 2-like, with no coding region annotated. The transcript is spliced from 3 exons. Lineage: Eukaryota; Metazoa; Chordata; Actinopteri; Acipenseriformes; Polyodontidae. The record is from RefSeq and is a predicted model, not a curated record.